This 292-nucleotide ribosomal RNA is filed under the name uncultured bacterium. RNAcentral describes it as "partial 16S ribosomal RNA". It matches the Rfam family "Bacterial small subunit ribosomal RNA", at positions 775 to 1067 of the family's 1533-position model. The record is from RNAcentral.
GGAUUAGAUACCCUGGUAGUCCAUGCCGUAAACGUUGGGAACUAGAUGUAGGGACCAUUCCACGGUUUCUGUGUCGCAGCUAACGCAUUAAGUUCCCCGCCUGGGGAGUACGGCCGCAAGGCUAAAACUCAAAGGAAUUGACGGGGGCCCGCACAAGCGGCGGAGCAUGCGGAUUAAUUCGAUGCAACGCGAAGAACCUUACCAAGGCUUGACAUAUACCGGAAAAGUUCAGAAAUGUUCUCCCCGCAAGGUCGGUAUACAGGUGGUGCAUGGUUGUCGUCAGCUCGUGUUG